UACGUAGGGACCGAGCGUUGUCCGGAUUCAUUGGGCGUAAAGGGCUCGUAGGCGGUUUGUCACGUCGGGAGUGAAAACUCAGGGCUCAACCCUGAGCGUGCUUCCGAUACGGGCAGACUAGAGGUAUGCAGGGGAGAACGGAAUUCCUGGUGUAGCGGUGAAAUGCGCAGAUAUCAGGAAGAACACCCGUGGCGAAAGCGGCUCUCUGGAACGGUACUGACGCUGAGACGCGAAAGCGUGGGGAGCGAACAGG
This 253-nucleotide ribosomal RNA is filed under the name uncultured bacterium. Its description in RNAcentral is "partial 16S ribosomal RNA". It matches the Rfam family "Bacterial small subunit ribosomal RNA", at positions 524 to 776 of the family's 1533-position model. The record is from RNAcentral.